UACGUAGGGUGCAAGCGUUGUCCGGAAUUAUUGGGCGUAAAGAGCUCGUAGGCGGUUUGUUGCGUCGGCUGUGAAAUCCCGAGGCUCAACCUCGGGUCUGCAGUCGAUACGGGCAAACUAGAGUACUGCAGGGGAGACUGGAAUUCCUGGUGUAGCGGUGAAAUGCGCAGAUAUCAGGAGGAACACCGGUGGCGAAGGCGGGUCUCUGGGCAGUAACUGACGCUGAGGAGCGAAAGCGUGGGGAGCGAACAGG
Molecule: ribosomal RNA, 253 nt
Filed under: uncultured bacterium
Lineage: Bacteria
Description: partial 16S ribosomal RNA
Rfam family: Bacterial small subunit ribosomal RNA
Source: RNAcentral